GGCUUUUUGAAUAUAAUUUAAGGUCGGGCCUGCCCAAUGAUAAAAUUAAAUGGCCGCGGUAUAUUGACCGUGCAAAGGUAGCAUAAUCAUUAGUUUUUUAAUUGAAAGCUUGUAUGAAAGGUUUAAUGAGAAAAAUACUGUCUCUAUUUAAAUUUGUUAAAAUUUUAUUUUUAAGUUAAAAAGCUUAAAUAUGUAUUGAAGACGAGAAGACCCUAUAGAGUUUUAUAUUUUGUUUGACAAAUAAUUAUUUAGGAUUUUAAAGAUUUAUUGAACAAAGUAUUUGAUUGGGGUGAUUAAAAAAUUAAUAAAACUUUUUUUGUAUUCUUACAUUGAUAAAUGAGUAAUUGAUCCUUUAUUUAAGAUUAGAAGAUAAAAUUACCUUAGGGAUAACAGCGUAAUUUUUUUUAGAGUUCUUAUCGAAAAGAAAGAUUGCGACCUCGAUGUUGGAUUAAAAUUAAUUAUUGGUGUAGAGGCUAAUAAAUUAGGUCUGUUCGACCUUUAAAUUUUUACAUGAUCUGAGUUUAAACCGGUGUAAG
RNAcentral lists this ribosomal RNA (536 nucleotides) under Acalles globulipennis. RNAcentral's name for it is "partial 16S ribosomal RNA". It matches the Rfam family "Bacterial large subunit ribosomal RNA", at positions 1819 to 2625 of the family's 2925-position model. Lineage: Eukaryota; Metazoa; Arthropoda; Insecta; Coleoptera; Curculionidae. The record is from RNAcentral.